UGUUUCGGGCGCAAACAAAAAGGCAGUUCAACUUGCUCUCCCUCCACCAGCUGCUUUAACAAGCACUGCAAACUGUAAUUACCUUUUGCCAGUUGGACCAGUUGAGGAAACGGAUGGCUUCCCCUGGACCGGGGUGCCUGCCAGCCCCAGGGUUCUUGGGACUCUCUCUGAAUGUCUUGGUCUGGCUUCUAAUGCGCUUGACUUGUUAUGUGAAUUAAAGUCCAAUUAAAAUAAAAGUGGCCGAGGAAAGAAAAUGGAAGGGAAAGACGGGAGAACUACAUAGAGGAUACAGCCUGACUAAUGUAAAGAGGAACAUGGUCUAACUGGAACUUCAGAUGUCAGAAGGACCAGGAGCUACGGGGGAAGGCGAGGGUCGGGAGGAACGCCACAGAGACGCUCUGAAGUCACACGGAGGAGCUGUCACCAGCGUGAGCCACACGCAGGACCAGGCCGGAAUACGCAGGCCCAUGAAAUUAGAGACCAGCGUUCCCCCGAGCAGGGUGUGGUCAGCAGAGAACAGAGCAAGCCCUGAGGCUCUGCAGCAGUGGCCCCAGCAUCAUCGCCACCAUACCUCUGCCAGCCCUUAGUGUCCCACCUGGAGACGGACGUCCUCUUGGCCUCAACCAGAGCCAAGAAAACAGGGACCGGCUUUCAACUGAGCUGACAUCUGAGAAAAAGAAAGCCUUUCGUUUCUUUUGGGAGCCUCCACCCUCAAAGCUAAUCUAACUCCACCCGCAGAGAUGACUCCUGUGGCCGGCAGCUCGGCAGGACCCAGUCAAGAAUCCACAUCCUCUGAUCCCUCUGCCCGGUCCUUCUCCAAGUGCGCACGAGUCGGUCUUCCCCCAAAGAGAAUCUUUGCCCAAGGCAGUAAUGAGCAGUUUUGGCACUUGAGGCUCGGCAUGUGCAAUGGAACAACCAUGUACAGGACGGCGAGGGGAGAGUGGUCACUACAUAGACAAAGCCUCCUCUCUGCGCCCCGUGUCCACCGAGGCUGACACAGGGAUGCGGGUCACCUGGCCACCGCAGCCAGACAGCUGCCCUCAGGUGGGGAUGGGAGAGGCAAGGAGCAUGGGAAGGCAUUUCCUCCAGAGUCAUCAGCUUAAGGGAUGUCCCUGGCGGUCCGGUGGUUAAGACUCUGCGCUUCCUUUGCAGGGGGCACAGGUUCCAUCCCUGGUUGGGGAACUAGAUCCUACAUACCGCGCGGCCAAAAAAAUUAAAAAUUUUAAAAAUUUUAAAAAGUUACCAGCUUAGGGACCUCCUAGGUGGCGCAGUGGGUAAGACUCCUCCUGCCAAUGCAGGGGACACAGGUUCAACCCCUGCCCCAGGAAGAUACCACAUGCCGAGGAUCAACUAAGUCCGUGAACCACAACUGUUGAGCCCAUGUGCCACAACUACUGAAGCCCACGUGCCUAGAGCCCAUGCUCUGCAACAAGAGAAGCCACCGCAAUGAGAAGCUUGCGCACCACAGUAAAGAGUAGCCGCAACUCACCGCAACUAGAGAAAGCCUGUGUGCAGCAACAAAGACCCA
This is a long non-coding RNA of Hippopotamus amphibius kiboko, 1528 nucleotides long. RefSeq lists it as uncharacterized. The transcript is spliced from 3 exons. The record is from RefSeq and is a predicted model, not a curated record. Lineage: Eukaryota; Metazoa; Chordata; Mammalia; Artiodactyla; Hippopotamidae.